RNAcentral lists this ribosomal RNA (253 nucleotides) under uncultured bacterium. Its description in RNAcentral is "partial 16S ribosomal RNA". It matches the Rfam family "Bacterial small subunit ribosomal RNA", at positions 524 to 776 of the family's 1533-position model. The record is from RNAcentral.
UACGAAGGGGGCUAGCGUUGCUCGGAAUCACUGGGCGUAAAGGGCGCGUAGGUGGUCAGGUAAGUCUGAUGUGAAAGCUCUGGGCUCAACCCAGAAAUGGCAUUGGAUACUAUCUGGCUAGAGGAAUGGAGGGGGGACUGGAAUACUUGGUGUAGCAGUGAAAUGCGUAGAUAUCAAGUGGAACACCAGUGGCGAAGGCGAGUCCCUGGACAUUUCCUGACACUGAGGCACGAAAGCUAGGGGAGCAAACAGG